AAAGGGUGAUAGCCCCGUAACCGACACAUCAUAAUCAGUGAAAACGAGUAGGGCGGGACACGUGAUAUCCUGUCUGAAUAUGGGGGGACCAUCCUCCAAGGCUAAAUACUACUGACUGACCGAUAGUGAACCAGUACCGUGAGGGAAAGGCGAAAAGAACCCCUGUGAGGGGAGUGAAAUAGAACCUGAAACCGUGUACGUACAAGCAGUAGGAGCACCUUCGUGGUGUGACUGCGUACCUUUUGUAUAAUGGGUCAGCGACUUAAUUUUAGUAGCAAGGUUAACCGUUUAGGGGAGCCGUAGGGAAACCGAGUCUUAACUGGGCGUACAGUUGCUAGGAUUAGACCCGAAACCAGGUGAUCUAGCCAUGGGCAGGUUGAAGGUUGAGUAACAUCAACUGGAGGACCGAACCGACUAAUGUUGAAAAAUUAGCGGAUGACUUGUGGCUAGGGGUGAAAGGCCAAUCAAACCUGGAGAUAGCUGGUUCUCCCCGAAAGCUAUUUAGGUAGCGCCUCGGACGAAUACUACUGGGGGUAGAGCACUGUUAAGGCUAGGGGGUCAUCCCGACUUACCAACCCUUUGCAAACUCCGAAUACCAGUAAGUACUAUCCGGGAGACACACGGCGGGUGCUAACGUCCGUCGUGGAGAGGGAAACAACCCAGACCGCCAGCUAAGGUCCCAAAGUAUAGCUAAGUGGGAAACGAUGUGGGAAGGCUCAGACAGCCAGGAUGUUGGCUUAGAAGCAGCCAUCAUUUAAAGAAAGCGUAAUAGCUCACUGGUCGAGUCGGCCUGCGCGGAAGAUGUAACGGGGCUAAGCUAUACACCGAAGCUGCGGCUACGUACCUUAGGGUAUGUGGGGUAGGGGAGCGUUCUGUAAGCCGUUGAAGGUGGUCUGUAAGGGCUGCUGGAGGUAUCAGAAGUGCGAAUGCUGACAUGAGUAACGAUAAAGGGAGUGAAAAACUCCCUCGCCGGAAGACCAAGGGUUCCUGUCCAACGUUAAUCGGGGCAGGGUAAGUCGACUCCUAAGGCGAGGCCGAAAGGCGUAGUCGAUGGGAAACGGGUUAAUAUUCCCGUACUUCUUACAAUUGCGAUGGGGGGACGGAGAAGGCUAGGUGGGCCUGGCGACGGUUGUCCAGGUUCAAGUAUGUAGGCGGGUGGUUUAGGUAAAUCCGGACCGCUACUAACGCUGAGAUACGAUGUCGAGCUACUACGGUAGUGAAGUCAUUGAUGCCAUGCUUCCAGGAAAAGCCUCUAAGCUUCAGAUUGUAAGGAAUCGUACCCCAAACCGACACAGGUGGUCGGGUAGAGAAUACCAAGGCGCUUGAGAGAACUCGGGUGAAGGAACUAGGCAAAAUGGUACCGUAACUUCGGGAGAAGGUACGCUCUUAUCAGUGAAGUCCCUUGCGGAUGGAGCAGACGAGAGUCGCAGAUACCAGGUGGCUGCAACUGUUUAUUAAAAACACAGCACUGUGCAAAAUCGUAAGAUGACGUAUACGGUGUGACGCCUGCCCGGUGCCGGAAGGUUAAUUGAUGGGGUUAGACUUCGGUCGAAGCUCUUGAUCGAAGCCCCGGUAAACGGCGGCCGUAACUAUAACGGUCCUAAGGUAGCGAAAUUCCUUGUCGGGUAAGUUCCGACCUGCACGAAUGGCGUAAUGAUGGCCACGCUGUCUCCACCCGAGACUCAGUGAAAUUGAAAUCGCUGUGAAGAUGCAGUGUACCCGCGGCUAGACGGAAAGACCCCGUGAACCUUUACUACAGCUUGGCACUGAACAUUGAACCUACAUGUGUAGGAUAGGUGGGAGACUAUGAAAUUGCGUCGCUAGAUGUGAUGGAGUCGUCCUUGAAAUACCACCCUUGUAGUUUUGAUGUUCUAACGUUGG
This 1881-nucleotide ribosomal RNA is filed under the name Vibrio sp. S/42/10. RNAcentral describes it as "partial 23S ribosomal RNA". It matches the Rfam family "Bacterial large subunit ribosomal RNA", at positions 359 to 2231 of the family's 2925-position model. The record is from RNAcentral. Lineage: Bacteria; Pseudomonadati; Pseudomonadota; Gammaproteobacteria; Vibrionales; Vibrionaceae.